Molecule: ribosomal RNA, 936 nt
Filed under: Triticum aestivum (bread wheat)
Lineage: Eukaryota; Viridiplantae; Streptophyta; Magnoliopsida; Poales; Poaceae
Description: partial small subunit ribosomal RNA
Source: RNAcentral
AUGGCAAAGUAUGUCCAGAGUGCUCCUGUUAGCAAUGAAGCAUUGCAGCACAAGGAGUUUCUCUUGGACAACUUGUACAUGGAGCAACGUACCGAACUGAAUACCAUGGAGACCAUCAUAUUGGAUUCCAAUCUUCCUCAAAGGUUUGGCUGCAUUGCGGCUACUGAUUACGCCAUAUAUGAUGGCAUUGGCCUCGACAAGAAGCUUGUUGCGCGUGCACAGGGGCUAAAUAUGGCGGUUGGUGCAACAAAUGGAACCUGGUCGUUCUGUUUUAACAUGGUGUUCGUCGAUGAGAGGUUCACGGGCUCUAGCCUUAAGGUGCUUGGAAAUUUGGCAGAACCGUAUGAAGGUGAAUGGGCAAUCCUUGGAGGGACGGGUGAAUUUGCCUAUGCACAAGGUGUUGUAACCUUCAAGAAGAUCCAAGAAUUUGAAAACGGGAAAAGUAGGUUAAGGGAGCUUCAGAUCCGUGCCGUGUGCGUCAAAUUCUCGUCGUCCCUGUCAUUGCCUGUAAAGAUGGGGCCAUGGGGCGGAAACGGAGGCUCCAUUCAAGAUAUGACCACAGGAAAACCGAUGCGCCUAGAAAGUGUGACGAUUCAUAGUGACAACAGCUGGAUUGUCUACUCCCUUGCAUUUACUUAUAUUGACAAACUUGGGAAGAGGCGCAAGGAGGGUCCUUGGGGUCCUGACAAAGGAACCAGUCAAACUAUUGAGUUUGGGCCUAAAGAGUAUGUGAGGGAAAUAUCAGGGACCAUUGACACUGUCAUAUCGUCACUUGUUAUCACGACGAACUUCAAAAAGUAUGGACCGUUUGGGCAUGAGAAGGGUAAUCGUUUCAGUGCUACUGUGCCAGAAAAUACAUGUGUUGUGGGAUUCUUCGCCAGGACCGGGAAUGCUCUAGAUGCCAUUGGUAUUUACCAUGGCCCCAUUGUGGUUUGA